RNAcentral lists this ribosomal RNA (230 nucleotides) under uncultured bacterium. RNAcentral describes it as "partial 16S ribosomal RNA". It matches the Rfam family "Bacterial small subunit ribosomal RNA", at positions 111 to 334 of the family's 1533-position model. The record is from RNAcentral.
UAAUACAUAAGUAACCUGCCCUAGACAGGGAGAUAACUAUUGGAAACGAUAGCUAAGACCGCAUAGGUACGGACACUGCAUGGUGACCGUAUUAAAAGUGCCUCAAAGCACUGGUAGAGGAUGGACUUAUGGCGCAUUAGCUGGUUGGCGGGGUAACGGCCCACCAAGGCGACGAUGCGUAGCCGACCUGAGAGGGUGACCGGCCACACUGGGACUGAGACACGGCCCAG